RNAcentral lists this ribosomal RNA (446 nucleotides) under uncultured bacterium. RNAcentral's name for it is "partial 16S ribosomal RNA". It matches the Rfam family "Bacterial small subunit ribosomal RNA", at positions 338 to 795 of the family's 1533-position model. The record is from RNAcentral.
CCUACGGGGAGCAGCAGUCGAGAAUCAUUCACAAUGGGGGAAACCCUGAUGGUGCGACGCCGCGUGGGGGAAUGAAGGUCUUCGGAUUGUAAACCCCUGUCAUGUGGGAGCAAAUUAAAAAGAUAGUACCACAAGAGGAAGAGACGGCUAACCCUGUGCCAGCAGCCGCGGUCAUACAGAGGUCUCAAGCGUUGUUCGGAAUCACGGGGCGUAAAGCGUGCGUAGGCUGUUUCGUAAGUCGUGUGUGAAAGGCGCGGGCUCAACCCGCGGACGGCACAUGAUACUGCGAGACUAGAGUAAUGGAGGGGGAACCGGAAUUCUAGGUGUAGCAGUGAAAUGCGUAGAUAUCGAGAGGAACACUCGUGGCGAAGGCGGGUUCCUGGACAUUAACUGACGCUGAGGCACGAAGGCCAGGGGAGCGAAAGGGAUUAGAUACCCGAGUAGUC